Molecule: ribosomal RNA, 439 nt
Filed under: uncultured bacterium
Lineage: Bacteria
Description: partial 16S ribosomal RNA
Rfam family: Bacterial small subunit ribosomal RNA
Source: RNAcentral
CUACGGGAGGCUCCAGUGAGGAAUAUUGCACAAUGGGGGGAACCCUGAUGCAGCAACGCCGCGUGGAGGAUGACGCAUUUCGGUGUGUAAACUCCUUUUAUAUGUCAAGAAAAUGACGGUAGCAUAUGAAUAAGCACCGGCUAACUCCGUGCCAGCAGCCGCGGUAAUACGGAGGGUGCAAGCGUUACUCGGAAUCACUGGGCGUAAAGGACGCGUAGGCGGGUUGGAAAGUCAGUUGUGAAAUCCUACAGCUUAACUGUAGAGCUGCACUUGAAACUUCUAAUCUAGAGUAUGGGAGGGGGAGAUGGAAUUAGUGGUGUAGGGGUAAAAUCCGUAGAUAUCACUAGGAAUACCUAAAGCGAAGGCGAUCUCCUGGAACAUUACUGACGCUAAGGCGUGAAAGCGUGGGGAGCAAACAGGAUUAGAUACCCCAGUAGUC